This is an RNA transcript of Dipodomys ordii (Ord's kangaroo rat), 643 nucleotides long. It is a transcript of the gene named high mobility group protein B1-like, with no coding region annotated. Lineage: Eukaryota; Metazoa; Chordata; Mammalia; Rodentia; Heteromyidae. The record is from RefSeq and is a predicted model, not a curated record. The transcript has 2 exons.
AUGGGCAAAGGAGAUCCUAAAGAAGUCGAGAGGCAAAAUGUCAUCAUAUGCAUUCUUUGUGCAAACUUGCCAGGAGGAGCACAAGAAGAAGCACCUGGAUGCUUCCGUCAACUUCUCAGAGUUUUCUAAGAAGGGUUCAGAGAGGUGGAAGACUAUGUCUGCUAAAGAGAAAGGGAAAUUUGAAGAUAUGGCCAAGGCAGACAAGGCCCGUUAUCAAAGAGAAAUGAAAACCUACAUCCCUCCUAAAGGGGAAACAAAAAAGAAGUUCAAGGAUCCCAAUGCACCCAAGAGGCCUCCUUCGGCCUUCUUCUUGUUCUGUUCUGAGUAUCGCCCUAAAAUCAAAGGGGAACAUCCUGGCCUGUCUAUUGGUGACGUUGCAAAAAAAAAAAACUGGGAGAGUGGAACAACACUGCUGCAGAUGACAAGCAGCCUUACGAAAAGAAGGCUGCGAAGCUGAAGGAAAAAUACGAAAAGGAUAUUGCUGCCUACCGAGCUAAAGGAAAGCCUGAUGCAGCAAAAAAAGGAGUUGUGAAGGCUGAAAAGAGCAAGAAUAAGAAGGAAGAGGAGGAAGAUGAGGAAAGAUGAAGAGGACGAAGAAGAGGAUGAGGAUGAAGAUGAAGAGGAUGAUGAUGAAUAAGUUGGU